Long non-coding RNA from Myotis daubentonii (Daubenton's bat), 452 nucleotides. RefSeq lists it as uncharacterized. The transcript is spliced from 2 exons. NCBI's taxonomy places the organism in Eukaryota, Metazoa, Chordata, Mammalia, Chiroptera, Vespertilionidae. The record is from RefSeq and is a predicted model, not a curated record.
GCAGCGGGCCGGCAGAGACGCGAGAACGGCCGGGGCUGGCCCCUCCCGGGACCCGUAGCGCAGGCAGCGCCGCGGUCACGUGACGCGGCGGCGCCUGCGGGCGGGGCCGUGACUCCGGGAUCCCGUCCCGGGGCGCGUUUCUGGCGCGGGCCGCGCACCAACCGCAGGGAACGACUUCUCACGGACAAGCUAAAUUGGCAUUUAAGAGCAAGGCUCCUGGCUUCGAGUUCAAGAUGACGGAGUAGCAUUCAGCAGGUGUGGCUCAGUGGGAGAGAGUCAACCUAUGAACCAGGAGAAAUCGUGGUUCACUUUCUGGUCUGGGCACAUGCCUGGGUUGCAGGCUUGAUCCCUAGUAGGUGGCAUGCAGGAGGCAGCUGAUCAAUGAUUCUCUCUCAUUAUUGAUGUUUCUAUCUCUCUCUCCCUCUCCCUUCCUCUCUGAAAUCAAUAAAAAU